This 220-nucleotide ribosomal RNA is filed under the name uncultured bacterium. Its description in RNAcentral is "partial 16S ribosomal RNA". It matches the Rfam family "Bacterial small subunit ribosomal RNA", at positions 57 to 305 of the family's 1533-position model. The record is from RNAcentral.
GCAAGUCGAACGAACUCUUCGGAGUUAGUGGCGCACGGGUGCGUAACGCGUGGGAAUCUGCCCUUGGGUUCGGAAUAACUUCGGGAAACUGAAGCUAAUACCGGAUGAUGACGAAAGUCCAAAGAUUUAUCGCCGAGGGACGAGCCCGCGUAAGAUUAGCUAGUUGGUGAGGUAAAGGCUCACCAAGGCGACGAUCCUUAGCUGGUCUGAGAGGAUGAUC